GUCAUUUUAAGAGAGAUGUGAGGACAGAAGCCGAAGUCAGAGAGGAGAGAAGAGGCUGCUGGCUUUGAAGGUGGAGGAGAGGGCCACGUGCCAAGGAAUGCAGGAAGGAUUCCCCGGCACCACAGUGAGGGGAGAGGGUGAGGAAAAGGGCAGAAAUUCCAGAGGGGACCUCAGCAAUAAGGAGGAUCACGUGUGAACUGGAUGACCUUUCGGGGCCUGGCCAUCUCUCCAGACGAGGCCUGAGGAGCUUUGGUGAACCAGGCCCAGAUCCCCCCAUGCAAAAGGAAGAUACGGUGAGGCUGAAAAGUUAUGUGCGUGGAGUUUCCUGGACAGGCCCUGUGAGAAGCUCCCACCAGAGUUCCACAGGACGAUCGUGUUGGCAGCAGGGAACCGCUUAGAACAUUCUCUCCACCUGGGUUUUCUUGACCUAAGCAGAUGUGAGUGGCUUCUGUCUGACUCACCCUAACUCUGACCUAUUUGUGAAAUGCUUUCUCUACAAAAAGCUGGAGAUAAGUGCAGAGGAUUAUGCAUUUAUAAUCCCAGCAUAGACAGAAUCGUCUAACCCCCUCAUUUUGGCUGCUCCCUGCCCUACCUGUGGUUGGGGAAUGCUGACCUAAUGUUGGCCGAGUGUCUAAUGGCCUAACCUAUUGGCUCCAGCAGUAAUUGCCAGAACCUCUUUCCUCAUCUACCCCAUGGCCAUAGUGAUCUGUCCUUUACACCUCUCAGAGUUCACCUGUGCCACGCAACAUGUUGGGUCUUUGUUCCCCGACCAGGGAUGGAACCUGUGCCCCCUGCAGUAGAAACGUGGAGUCUUAAUCACUGGACCCCCAGGGAAGUCCCUGCUUUAAGGUUUUUUUUUUUCCCCUCUACCUCUGUCCUGGCCCUCCUCUUGCUACCUGCCUUUGCCUCUGGCAUCCUGGUCCUUUGAUGGGCUUUCCUGCCAAUAACUGCUCUGUAGAAUCUGGAGUUCAUACCAAAUAGGAACUUUGAGGUUUCUUUCCUUUGGAGAUUGCAAAGCCCACAAGGCCUGGUGUGGAGGAUGCUGCUAGCUCAGUGGGGCACCUGCGGCUUUCUCUGCACGCAGAGCAAGGUCGUUCUCACAGAAACCGGGAAGUUCUUCACCCGGAAGCUCAGUCUUCUGUGAUCCACGUGGUUCUGGAAUCUGAACGCUAAUGAUUAGCACAGGAACUUCUUCACAGCCUAGGCAAUCCGUGACUUGUGAAUCCACGCAGGAGCUUGUGCUAUCUCUUUUUCCAUUCAGUGGUCAGUCUUUCUGCCUGGCGGUUGUGGUCAGGUCACCUGGUGGCCCCUCGUGGCCAUCUCUGUUUGCAGAGGGCCAUUCUGCCAGGUUUGGGGGGCUGUGCUUUGUCUUGAGUCGAAGAGAUCUGGGUUUGAAUUCCUUGUUCUACCAAUUACCAGCGUUCUAAUUUGAAUAAGUUGCUUAAACUCUCUAAGCCUCCUUGUCUGUUAAUGGGAAGAAGAGCAGACCCACCUCAUUCGGUCGUAAGGAGGCCUAAGUCAAGAAUGCACUGAAGGCACAUGGCGUGAGCCUGGCCCAUGUUAAACGCACCAAAAGCGGUAGCUGUUAUUUUGUUAACCCACCCAGAAAGCUCAUCUUCAUUAAAUGAUGUAAUAUAAAAAUAAUGGUUCAAAUUUGUGUAAUUAACACUUUCACGUUUAUUAUGCCUAGCACAGGGCAAGCACUGAGCAUUAGCUAUUAUUAUUAAUACUAAUAUGGAGAGCAGCAGCUCUACCUGAACAGCUAUGAAGGGUGAGAUUAUCAUCCAAGCCCUUGACCAGGCCUCUUGAUCUGGACCCAAGCCCAUGGACCCCUUGAUGGUCUGUGGGUAGAGUUUGUGGGGUUUGUGACCUUAGAUAGGAAAAUAAUUAGACCUUUUAUUUUCACUAAUCUCUAAUUGAAAUUAAGAAUCUCCUUCAAUUAUGAAUGUUGGCAACAAAAUACACUAAUAGUAAAACACCUGUGACUUCGAUACCAACACAAGUCCACAUGAAAUAUUGGCUAUGCUUGAUACUACUUCAAAACUAGAUAUUAAAUCUGCUGUUAGAACUUGUUAUUUAAUGUGUUAAUAAAGAAGCACAUAUUUUGAUACAGUUACAUUUCAUUGUAAGUGUUUUUUUUUUAAUACUUUAUAUUUCAUUUUAUGCAAUUAAGAAACUUAUCCUAAGAAAAGUCAACAGGCUUCGCCAGCCUGACUGCUGAAGGAGUCAGGACAUGAAAAGGUUAAGAAUUUACAGGGUGUGGAGGCAGUCCCCCCUCAAGACCACCCUCACUUCUGAUGCCAAUUGCAAGUCCCGGGGUCCCCAGGACUACCCUCAGGUUUUUGUUUUUAUUUUCGUUUGUUUUUAAAGUGAAGUAUAGUUGAUUUAUAAUGUUUCUGGUAUACAGCAAAAUGAUUCAGUUAUAUAUUUAUACAUAUUCUUUUUCAGAUUCUUUUCCAUUAUAGGUUAUUACAAGACACUGAAUGUAGUUCCCUGUAGUAUACAGUAGGUCCUUGUUGUUUAUCUAUUUUAUAUGUAGUAGUGUGUAUCUGUUAAUCCCAAAUUCCAAAUUUAUCUCUUUCCUCACUUUCCCUUUUGGUAACCGUAAGUUUGUUUUCUAUGACUGUGCGUCUAUUUCUGUUUUGUAAAUAAGUUCAUUUGUAUCAUUACUUUAGAUUCCAUGUAUAAGUGAUAUCAUAUGAUAUUUGCUUUUCUCUCUCUGACUUACUUCACUUAGUAUGAUAAUCUCUAGGUCCAUCUAUGUUGCUGAGACCACUUUCAAUUCUGAUAAAUUACUAGAAGAACUUACAGAAUUCACUGAAAGCUACUAUACUUAUGGCUACAGUUUAUUACAGUGAAAGCAAUCAGCCAAGGGAAGAAACACCUGGAGCAGAAAGUUCCAGGAGAGGAGCUGCUGGCUGUCCUCUCCCAGUGGAGUCGUGGACAGCGCCAACUUUUCCUGGCAAUGAUGUGUGACAGUACGCAUGGGAUAUCGCCAACCAAAGAAGCUCACCUGAGCCUUGGUGUCCAGAAUUUUUGCUUAGGUGCAGUCAGGUAGCCAUAGUGGACCACCUGCCUGGUUGAUCUUUUAUCUCCAGCCCUCUGGAGGUUGAGCUGAUACCAUGUGGCCAAAGCCUCCACCAUAAAUCACGUUGUUAGACUAUCCAGUGUGGUCCAAGGCCCCAGGUAAACGCUUAUCAGGCAGGACAGUCUAAGAAUUUAGCAAUACCUUGCAGGAGCUGAGGACAAAGUCCAGACCUGUCUUGGGGAAGGUUAAUUCUUUACUACACAGGCUCCACUUUGGAAACUGCCUUGGAGCGGCCAGCUUGGAGGAGGGUGGAAGGAAAGGGUGCUGUUAAACCUCAGAAGCGAGGGCCCUGGUGGUGGGGCAAAGUGUGGACGGUCCUGGCCUCCUGCCUGCCCUGGAUUGGCCCCACGCCUGCUCCUGGGCUGUUCAGACAGAGUGAGUCCUGUGGCCAAGAAGAUCAGCAGGUAUUUUGCAGACUCAGGUUACCUGGUCAUGCCUGGGUGGUGCUAGGAGCUUAGCCAGCUUUGGAGGUGGCCUGUGCUGGAGUUCACUGGCAGAGUGGUUACCUGAGGUCACUGCCUGCGGAUGUGACCAGCUUUCAUGUGGGAAAGCACGAGUUUGCUGGAGCCUGGAGUCUUGUAGGCCCAACAUGUUUUGACUCAUCUAAAGCGAGCCCAGAGUCAUGACCUCAUCCUCAAGUUUGGUGUAAAUUAUAUGCAGUCAAUCUCUAUGUUAACACUGAAAAGUCACUCGUUCAGGACCCUAUUGCUAGUGUCUUCCUGGGUUAGGUCAUUUCUACCAGCCUGUGAGGGCUGAGGCCUCGCACCCUUUGCAGGAGCCUGUGUUCCCUGAAGGGGAGAAGGGCAGGGACCAACCAACACUGGCCCAAGAGGCAGGCACAGAAGGCUUUCUGGGGUGUGGCUAGGAUCCAGAGAGCUUUGUGUUUCCCUGAAGAGCACAUUUGUGUUCACAAGUGUACUUGUAUAUAAUUUGUGCUCUAGUUGCGACUAUUUUAUGGAGGUCUGUGUGGUUUUUUUUUUAAAGCUGCCUUUAAAAAGAAUCAUUUAAAAUGACCAUUCUCUCCUUUUCCUCAUCUGUGAUGCUGUCUGUAAUUAUUUGGAGCAAGCUCUUUCACAUAAUCACCUACGUGCCCUUUGGCCCUCAUCACCCAGCUGGACUGCAGCUCCGUGGGGCAAGGCCUGCUCUGUCCCAUGCAUCUCAGCACCAACAGCAGUGCCCAGCAUAGAAUGGGCACCUGACAGAUGUUUGUCUAAUGAAUAGCAGGAAUGAAUCCUAUGAGAUCACUCACUGUAUUCAUUUCCUGUAGCUCCUAUAACAAACUGCCAGAAACUAGGUGGCUUAAAACAACAGAAAUUUGUUCUCUGACAGUUCUGGCAGCCAUGAGCGCAAAGUCAGUAUCAAUGGGCUGAAAUCAAGGUGUCAGCAGGGCUAACACCCUGUGGAGGCUCUGAGGGAGACUCUGUUCCUUGUUUCCUCUAGCCUCUGGUGGCUGCAGCAUUCCUUGGCUUGUGGCCACAUCGCCCCAAUAUCUGCCCCUGUGGUCGCCUUCUCCUCUUCUGUGUGUGUCAGAUGUCCCUCCGCCUCCUCUUAUAUACAUGUGAUUGCAUUUGGGGCCCCCCAGGAAAUGCAGGAUAAUCUUCCCAUCUCAAGACCCUUAAUUACACCUGCAAAAUUCCCCUCCCUCCCUUUUUCUCUGCGUAAGGUAGCAUUCAGGAGCUCUAGGUUUAGGAAGUGGAAAUCUUUCCGGGGCCACUGUUCAGCCUACCGUACUCACAAAGGGGAUGUAACCCGCAGAAGGCUGGGCAGUCCCUCAUGCAGCAUCCUGGCGGGGGACACACAUGUUCCUGAGCACUGCUCGUUCAGGGGACGUGUCACGGGGACUUGGGUUCAUGGGGGAGCCCUCAUGCCCUUAUUUGGGGCCCGUAUUACUAUGAACACGCGAGAACCAGGUAUAACCACCUCCUUUCGCCCUUAGAGUCUCUGCUCUCAGCAGAUCCACACUCACCCUCCCCAGAGGAGGUUCCCGACCUGAGUCUCACGUGACUGUGGCACGUGUCAGGAAAAGCAGCCCUUCCCAGGACUCAUCCGCAGGAGGACCCUGGUCCUAGGGCUUCCCCUAGAACCCAUCUCUUCCUGAUCGUGUAGAUAAGUCAUCCUUCCCCCUGGCAGCAACCACAUCUCCACAGCCUGGUGGGUGGGGGAGGGUGGAAGCAGCAGGUAAGGGAGUGGUGAUAGUUUGGAAAGGUCAGAUGCCAGAUGAAGAAAAGUCAGAUAAGGAAGAAUCCGCCCCAGGCUGUCAGGCUAAAGCCUGCAGCAAGUUUUGCUUUCUGUGAUCCCUGGGACCUGUAGAUUCUGCGGCUACCCUCUGUCCCCAAACAAAUGAUGAAAAAGAAAGACUGUAAGAAAAUAGGGGCUGCUUGUCUGGGUUUGACAGGUUACCCAUGCUCACUCGCCCUCCACGUCACCCUCCUACUGGAUGCCCUGCCCCCAGUGGUUCCGAACAGCUUUUCAACCUGUUGUGUAGGCACCUGGGUGAUUGAGGUCUUUUAUUCUCUAGAUUUUCUCUAAAUUUGCACUAAUUGUGUUGUUGCUUUGGCCAGGCCUCCCAGAGUGAGUCCCCAGGAAAAGGUGAGACUAAAGCGGAGGGUAAUUCCCGGAUCUCUCUGCCUGGGUCUGUCCUAACGCCCAGCCAGGGAGGAGCUGGGUUGAGGGGUGGGGUGGGUGCACGUGCACAUGUUCCGUCUAGCAGGGCGGGCUUUCCUCCUCGGAUGGGCUGCCUUCUCUGGGAGCCUUGUCUCUGACGCAAAGUCUCCAUCCCUAUUUUUGUAGUUCCCUGUGAUCUGAUUCAUCCCCUGUGAGCACUAAGAGCCAUUGUGGGUUGCCUGGCAGAGUUCUUUUUUUUAGAGGAAAAAUUUUUUUAAAUAGUAUGGGGUUUUUUUUGUUUUUUAUUGAAGUAUAAUUAACAUGUAACAUUAUAUUCGUUUCAGGUGUACAACAUAAUGAUUUUAUAUUUGUGUAUAUCGCGAAUGAUCACCACAAUAAUUCACGUUAACAUCCAUCUCCAAACAUAGCUACAGAUUUUUUCUUGAAAUGAUAAUGUGUAAGAUCUUCUCUCUUAGCAACUUGCAAAUACACAAUACAGUAUUAUUAACUGUCGUCGCCGUGCGGUCACGACGGGGGACUGAGUAGAGUUCCUUGCUGCUGGCAGAGUUCUGAGUGGAGAAUCAGGUGGCCUUAGGUGUCCUUGUGCCCCGGAUAGCUGAAUUUUCACAGACAGGACAGCAUGUCUGGGCCUCCGUCUGCUGUGGGACAGGGUGAAACAGGUUGCUCAACAAGGAUCUUUCCAGUGCUGCUACUCUGAGCCUCUAUGGUGUUAGGAUUGGCUCAAGGACCCGUUCUGGAUCUCGAAGUUUAGGUGUGUUCUGUCCGUACGUGCAGCCCUUUUUAAAGUGCAGGUGGCCCAUGGCUCUGUAUCUGUGUGAACUUGUGGCCAUUGUGUUUUAUUUGUUCCAUGACCAGCAAAGGACUGGCUUAAGCCUUGCAUCUCAGAGGGAGGGUCCCAGGCUCCCUGGGCACACUCAAGUGGGGGGGGCCAGCAGCAGGGCUGAGGAAGGGAGUGAAGUUGGACCACUGCCUGCAACCUCCCCUUCGUUACCACUCUCUCUGGGUGGAUCGCACAUCCUUUUGCUGGGGAGAAGAGCCUGAAAGAAUAUGCCAGGAGGUAGCUGCUAAGAACAAAACAUCACAGAGGGGGUGGCUUAAACAUCGGAAAUGCAUUCCUGGGACUUCCCUGGUGCUGUAGUAGUUAAGAAUCCACCUGCCAAUGCAGGGAACAUGGGUUCGAGCCCUGGUCCAGGAAGAUCCCACAUGCCGAGGAGCAAGUAAGCCCGUGCGUCACAACUUUUGAGCCCAUGUGCCACAACUACUGAAGCCCAUGCACCUACAGCCUGUGCUUCGCAACAAGAGACGCCACCGGAAUGAGAAGCCCAUGCACCACAACGAAGAGUAGCCCCCGCUAGCUGCAACUAGAGAAAGCCUGUGCGCAGCAAUGAAGACCCAAUGCAGCAAAUAAAUAAAUAAAUAAAUAAAUAAAUUUAUUUAAAAAAAAAGAAAAGUGCAUUCCUCACAAUUCUGGAGUCUGAGAUCAGGUUGCCAGCAUGGUCUGUCGACGCUGGCUUGCAGACUGUCUCCUUCCUGCUGUGUCUUCGCAUGGUGGAGAGAGAGAUCUUCUCUCCUGUCUCUUUUAUAAGAGCACGAAUCCCAAGCCCUCAUGACCUCAUUUAAACCUAAUCUCAAAGGCCCCAUCUGCAAAAGCCAUCACACUGAGCAUUAGGUGUCCACAUGUGAAUUUUGAGGGGGACACAAACAGCACAGUUCUUGAGGGGCAUGGUGGCAGCGUCUCUCCUGCUGUCCACGCAGCCAGAUCCCCCGAGAUCCUCCCGGGUGCCACAUCCUGCAGUCAUAAGAGGAGGAGUCGAGUCAGUCCUGGAGCCUGCCCUCUAGGGACUCUUCCUGGUAGGAAAGACCCUUUAGGGAGCUCAUGCCUAGCAUGGUGCCUGGCACACAGAAGACGUCCAACAGACGUUUGGAUACACUAAACCACUCGUGCAAAUCACAGAUCUGGCAACAGGCAAAGUGACUCUCAAGGCCAGGACUCUCAGCCCAGUGCUCUUUCCUCGACGUCACCAUCUCCAUCUUCAUUCACUCAACUGCUGCUGAUUCUCUGAGAAAUCUCUUUCUUCAAUAUGGAAUGCUAGGUACUUCCCUGGUGGCACAGUGGUUAAGAAUCCACCUGCCAACGCAGGGGACACGGGUUUGAGCCCUGCUCCAGGAGGAUCCCACAUGCUGCAGAGCAACUAAGCCCAUGUGCCACAACUAUUGAGCCUAUGCUCUAGAAGCCAAGAGCCACAACUAUUGAGCCUGCACUCUAGAGGCCAAGAGUCACAACUACUGAGCGCAAGUGCCACAACUACUGAAGCCUGCCUGCCUAGAGCCUGUGCUCCUCAACAAGAGAAGCCACCACAAUGAGAAGCCCACGCACCCCAGUGAAGAGUAGCCCCUGCUCACCACAACUAGAGAAAGCCCGUGUGCAGCAACAAAAACCCAACACAGCCAAUAAAUACAUAAAUAAAUUUAUAAAAAAAAUGGAAUGCUAAAAUCAAACAAAAAAUGGAUAAAAAAAGAAUCAACCAGAUAUAUCUUUUAAGGUCAUGCUGCUCUGUCCUUGCCAUUCAACACUUCAACAAACGUUGAUGAAGACACUAUUGGCAGGCCCUGUGCCAGGUGCUAGAAACACAGAGAGAAGAGACACAGAACCAAACCUCAAGGAGCUCACGGUCUGGUUGUAGGGGUGUGUGGCGUGUGGAGUGGCCAGAUAAGCAAUAGGCAUUUGUGAGGUAUUGUGUACGUGUUGUGAGAAACACAUGGGAGCCUGGAGAGGGAAGGCUGAGGAAGGCCUUCUGAAGCAGCUGAGUCUUGAAGGUUGAGGAAGAGUUAAUAACGUGAGGACUGGCUGAGAGAAUGUUCCCAGCAAAGGAAACAGAAUAUGCAAAAGCGUGGAGGAAUGAGAGAGGGCAGAGCAGAGUGCAGAGCAGAGGUAGUUCCGGAACUCAAGCAGCUGCACAGGGCUGUGGUCUGGGGGACGGUGGGAGUGAGGCUUGAGCAGUAGCUGGGGCUGGUUGCAUCAGCCUCACAGCCACGCUGAGGAGGGUGGUCUUUGGCCCAAAGGGCCUGUGCGGUCCUGGCACGUGACUAGAUGCGUGUCUUAGAAACGCCAGCGGUGUGAACAUGAACUGGGCAGGGAAGGGACAAAGAAGGGAGGCUGUUUCAUUACUUCAGCUGAGAAAUGAUGUGGCUUUAUGGGAAGACACGGUGGACAUACAGAGGUGGAGAGAGAGUCUAGGCAUGUGAAGGAAGAAGGACCAGUAACACUCAGUGACUGACUUGGGGGUGCAGGCGAGACACCUGUUUGGAUUGGGUGGCCACUCACGCAGAUGAAGGUUACAGGACGAGGAGCAGGUGAGGCCUGGGAGAUGCAGAGUCUGACGGUGGCAGCAUCGAGAUAUGAGUCAGGCGAUCAGAUGUGCAGGAGGUAGAGAAGAUUUAGGAGUUACCAAUGUGCAAGUGCUGGUUAAAGACAGGAGUGUGCUCAAGCCUGGUGAACGCAGAACGAUGCACCUGCUGUGUUGUCAGACACUUUUAUUCAGUAAAAAGAAAACAAAAAAAGCAGCUUAUAGACAGCCUAGUGGGGACCUGGAACCUUCAUACUUACUCAUUCAGCCCAUCUGGCCUCUGUGGAAGGACCUGUUUAAUAAUACCUGGCCUGGCUGGAGAAAGGAUUUAAGUCUGUAGGCAUCAUUAUUAGUCUGAUUUCACAGUGAGGUUCACAGUGAAAUGAGCAGCUCAAGGUCAGGCUGCACAGAAGGUGGCAGAGGGGGAUUUGGAGCAGGUCUUCUGUGGCCUGGUCUUCACCACAACUGCCUUUCAUGAUGCAGGUGACCUUUGCGCAGGAGAUGCUGAGACGGGGUGGAACAUGGUGGGCACAGGGGAAGCGUGAGUCAGGGGGGUGGGGACAGCCUGACCAUGAGCUGGACCCAUGCUCUUACACUGGGUUCUGCGUCUGGUACACCCUGAGGUAGGGGGUUCUACCCCGUGAUCGCCUGGUGACAUUUCGAGAGCGCUUGGCAUUCAUUCUACCAUCCUUGUCGGAGUGGGAGGCUCUCUGCCUCUCUCGGGCCUCCGCAUCCCCUGUGGUUUGACUGUUGGAUGGGAGGCCUGAAAUGAGCCCAAACUGGCACCAGGGCACAUCCGUCCCUAGUGGGAGGGGAGGUUCACCAGUGUUAGGUUUUGAAAGGCGUGAACAAGGGGGUGGGAGGUGGGGAACGAAGAGGGGAGAGGACACUUAAUUACUGACAUUUAUUUAGUAUAAGCCUAAUGUAGUGGGUUGAAUGCCCACUCCUCCCUACCCCUCAAAAAAAAGUCCAAGGCCCAACCCCUGGUUCCUGUGAAUGUGACCUUAUUUGGAAAAGGAGUCUUUCCAGAUGUAGUUAAGAAGCUUGAGAUGAGGUCAUCCUGGAUUUGGGGUGGGUACUAAAGGCAGUGACUGGUGUCCUUAUGAAAGAAAGGAGAGGGAGAUCUGAGCACAGGGAGGAAGGCAGCGUGAGGCUGGGAGCAGAGAUUGGAGUGAUGCCACAGGCCAUGAGAUACCUGGGCUGCCGGAAGCUGGAAGAGGCAAGAAAGGAAUCUCCCUGAGAGCUUUCGGAGAGAGUACAGUCCCACCAACAUCUUGAUUUUGACCCAGUGAGACUAAGUUCAGACUUCUGACCUCCAGAACUGUGAGAAUAAAUUUCUGUUGUUGUGAGCCACUGAGUUUGUGGUCAUUUGUUGUGGUAGUCCCAGGAAACUUAUGCAGUGGGCAAACACUCAGCGGGCAAGUACCUCCUUUGCCCCUGGCAGAUAUUAAUAAUCAUUCUCAGCAUUCUU
This is a long non-coding RNA of Hippopotamus amphibius kiboko, 10531 nucleotides long. RefSeq lists it as uncharacterized. The transcript is spliced from 10 exons. The record is from RefSeq and is a predicted model, not a curated record. NCBI's taxonomy places the organism in Eukaryota, Metazoa, Chordata, Mammalia, Artiodactyla, Hippopotamidae.